This 497-nucleotide ribosomal RNA is filed under the name uncultured bacterium. RNAcentral's name for it is "partial 16S ribosomal RNA". It matches the Rfam family "Bacterial small subunit ribosomal RNA", at positions 28 to 507 of the family's 1533-position model. The record is from RNAcentral.
GAUGAACGCUGGCGGCGUGCCUAAUACAUGCAAGUCGAGCGAACAGACGAGGAGCUUACUCCUCUGACGUUAGCGGCGGACGGGUGAGUAACACGUGGAUAACCUACCUAUAAGACUGGGAUAACUUCGGGAAACCGGAGCUAAUACCGGAUAACAUGUUGAACCGCAUGGUUCAACAGUGAAAGACGGUCUUGCUGUCACUUAUAGAUGGAUCCGCGUCGCAUUAGCUAGUUGGUAAGGUAACGGCUUACCAAGGCAACGAUGCGUAGCCGACCUGAGAGGGUGAUCGGCCACCCUGGAACUGAGACACGGUCCAGACUCCUACGGGAGGCAGCAGUAGGGAAUCCUCCGCAAUGGGCGAAAGCCAGACGGAGCAACGCCGCGUGAGUGAAGAAGGUCUUCGGAUCGUAAAACUCUGUUAUUAGGGAAGAACAAAUGUGUAAGUAACUAUGCACGUCUUGACGGUACCUAAUCAGAAAGCCACGGCUAACUACGUG